UCUCCUUGAUUUCAGUAGAGGAUAUAGCCUA
This 31-nucleotide non-coding RNA is filed under the name Mus musculus (house mouse). Lineage: Eukaryota; Metazoa; Chordata; Mammalia; Rodentia; Muridae. The record is from RNAcentral.